UGGUGAGUGGAAGCCGAGGGCCGCCGCGGUUGCAAGAACUGGGCUGUGGUGCACGCCGAAGCGAACCAUGGGCUAAUAGAGCGAAGGUAGUGCUUGGAGUUCGAAGGAAAGUUUGCCAGAGUUCACGUCUCGUGGGGAACUUCACUGUGUCGACGAUGGCCAGCCUCGUCGUCGAUUGUGUCGAUGGCCAGCCUCGUCGUUGAUUGAGCAUCGCGGCCAAGUCUGUUGUGACCGGGAUUCUUCAACACGUUCCACCUCGAGGUAUGGAUCCAAAUGCUAGCAGCAGCAUCUCUCAACUACUUCCGCGUGAUGCGAUGGUGCUGGGUACGUAGAUGUGCUUCCGCUCUCUGCUGCAUGCCGUUGUAGGCCAUCCUAUUGCCUCUCACGCCCUAAAACCGGGUCUCCGGCUAACCACCUAGCUUGCGGACAAACUCUCGCCGACGGAGGUUCACCAUGCCGCAUGGACAGCUUCGCCUUGCCUCCUAACCUUCGGUAAUGCCCCUUGGAUCGAUUCGACACCUUCUCUGCAUUGCUUAGCACCUAGUUACGCUUGGAAUCAAGCCCUGGCAUGAUAAUUGGGUGCUCCGCGGUCAUGGCGCCGCCGUGGGUAGGGCCGGCGUGCUGCCGUAUUCCGGCUGGGAGGAAGAAAACUGGCAGCCAUUGGAUUGGAAGUUGACGGUUAGGAUGGGUUAUGGGAAGGAUGUACCGUGGACCGUUGAUCGCGGAAUGGACGUAUCGGAUUAGAUUCACAUAUACCCGUUCGACUCAUUAAAUCCAGGGCGUAGAUCUUGGAUCCUAGGGCUCGGGUUGCGUACCGAUUUGUGCGCGGCCAGAUUUAAUCGUGACCUUUGGUUUGGAUCGGACGGCUCUGAAUCAACGAUACCCCUUCGCCCUGGCUUUCUUUCUAAAGAGACCCCGGAAAACUUGCUAUUCAACCCGCGGUCUAUCGCCUGGGUUCUCUGUGUCUUGGUGCACUUUGCGCCAGGGCCCCUGCACUUCCUAAUAUUAGUGGGCCCAGUCCAGAGUAUUAUAAAACAGAGAAAAUAAUUUAUAAAUGGGUUUUUAAUAGAUAAAUAAAUGCUAGAACUUGUUUAAAUCAUAGAAAAUCCAUUUUUAGUCCAAAUUAAUCCAUUCCACUUUCUAAAAUUUUGUAAUUUUAUUAUCUACCACCUAGAGCCUCUGUUUUGUCAUGAAAACAAUUAGAAAUUUAAUCUCUCACUUAAUCCAUUCUAAGCACAUAGAAUCUUUGGAAAUCCAUAACUUAAAAUCUAUAACUCCGAAAUUAAUGAUUCCUGUUCCUAUGAUCUUAUUUUAAUAUGUAUAUUAUUAAUGUGUAUUUUGUUCUUAUGUGUGGUGUAAUGUUAAUUUUGCCUAUACCAUGUUUGUUUGAAUUGCUACGACUAGCAGUGAGGUCACGAGUCACCUGAAGAUCAUCCUGGUACCUGGAAUCUCAAGUCCCAGGCAAGUUGUGCCCUUGAUCACUUCUUUUACCCACUCAUGUUCUAAUUAAUCAUAAUGAUCUGCAUAGGUUAAUUUGAUGGGACCUAAUAGGUUACCCUAGAUUGUCUAUCUUUAUACCUUGUUUACCACUGAACUUUUUGGGUAGUACUUGCUAGUGCUUUAUGUGGUUUUGGGUAUGAAGAUACAUUAUUCAUGAUCACACUUUUAUUAUCAGUUUAUUAUUACUGUUCAUGAUAAGAUCAUUAUGUUAAUUGGAACAUGGAGAACCACCCGGGAAAACAGUGCUACCACAAGGGAGGAAUGGGACCCCUUGGCUGAUUAAUUAGGAAAGCUAGUGGAAGACUACCUUACCCGAAAGGGGCAAGGGCAGUAGGGGAGUGGUCAUUGUAGGGAGGCCCUCGGGAGGAUUUUGCUGCAAUGGCGGUCCUGCAAGGGAUUCCUGCAUUGGAGCUUCCUAUAAACUGUAGCGGGUUUUCUGAAGCUAGUGGAACUUUGUAAAGGCAUCGUAGUGUUACCCUGCCUCGCCUCCUCGGUAGAGGUGUAUGGGAAGUCGCGAUCCCUUGGCAGAUGGGUAACAUGACUUGUGGGUAAAGAUGCGCAACCUCUGCAGAGUGUAAAACUGGUAUACUAGUCGUGCUCACGGUCAUGAGCAGCUCGGACCCUCACAUGAUUAAAUUAUGGAACUAAAUUCAAUUUGUCAUAUGCAUUGCAUCGCAGGUGAUGUUGUUACUACUUUUGUUCUACUACUUAAUUGGGGUAUUUACUUAUACUUAGUAAUUGCUAAUAAAAUUUUGACCAACUUUAAAAGCAAUGCUCAGCUUCAACCAUCCUCUUUGGUAAGCCUUACACUUCACGUGAGCUCCCACCUUUGGCGAGUUCAUGCACAUUAUUCCCCACAACUUGUUGAGCGAUGAACGUAUGUGAGCUCACUCUUGCUGUCUCACACCCCCACAGGUCAAAAACAGGUACCACAGGAUGAGGCGCAUGGAGGAUGCUGUGAUGAGUUCGUGAGAGGUCUAGGCCGUCAUCUCCCAGUCAACUUUGGGUUGCUGGACCGUUGUCUCCCUAUAAUGUAAUUAUUUAUUUUGUAUAGAAUUCCUGUUAUAUAUAAAGAUGUGACAUUCGAUCCUGUGCCAUUAUACAUCAUAUGUGUGAGACUUGGUCCCAGCAUACCUGGUGUUUAUGUUCGCGCCCGGGUCUUGGUGCCCCCGAAAUCCGGAUGUGACAGAAGUGGUAUCAGAGGAAUGUUGACUGUAGGACGAAACCUAGAUAGAACUGGACAACCAUUGUCUACUUACCUUUGCUACUCUGAUCUUUUCUAAACUUUCCUUAAUCUUUCUCAUCUAUUUCCGCUUUACUCUGAUUAUUCUUACCUUUUCAUUCUAAAGACAAAUGUGGAUUUCACACUUUGAAGUCAUGUAUCUAAAGUAACUUUUAGGAGUAGGAGACCUAUUCUUAGGAAUAAAAAAACAAAACUAUUUUUUUAUUUAUAUGCUUGAAUGUUUGUUCUUGUAAUACAUGUCUGAUUUGGAUCUUUGAUUAAGUGUGAUGAGUUAUGGAGUAAUGUCCACAAUUACAUCUGUAUAUACAUAUAGGCAUAAAUAUAAAUAAAUAAAAUUCAUAAGAUAGCUAAUCAACUUGGAAUAUCCCUCGUUAAAAUAUAUUUAGCUUAAUAGAUCUAUCUUAUCUUAAAAGAUACACUAUUACCUUAGUAGAUUCAUCUUAUCUUGAAAGAUUCAUAUUAUCCAAACCACUUGAUUUAUCCCACCAUGAUCAUGAUCUAGACCAAAAUAAUGAGAUCUUAACUAGUUUAAUCUAGUCAUAUUCAGUCUAAUUUAGAUCCUAUCUAAGCUUAUAUGAUCCAAUCUAGUGUGAGUUACUUAAUGCUGGUACAAAGGAUAAGGCCAUACUCCAAAUUCACUUAAGCCUAAAUUGGUGACUUAGAGCAACUAAGCCCUACACGACAACUUGACCUACAUAAUAGGUUACAUAACUUAUCCAACCAACCUAGAAGCAAAACAACAAGAUAGACAGUGCUUAAAUUUACUUAACUCAUAACCACCUCCUACCCUACUUUGGGUACAUACAAAUCUGCCUUAACUACAUGUUCCUAAUUCGGAUAACAACUUCAAGAACAAAGAUCGAAGAUGAUCGGCUUCAUCAAAUCAAGGAAGAAUAAGAUUCAAGCUAGAUCCUCAAGGGAAUCAAGAUCCACAAUCUUGGAUGGAGUCUUUUCUUACCCUACUCUUUCUUACCCCAAACCUAUAAAUGCUUUAAAGAUAUCUUUUAUCCUGCAUAAUAAAGUGGCUAUACCCAUAAAGACCCAGGCUUUCCUAAUCACUUGAUGAUUUGCGAUAUAGAAAAAAAAAAGAAAAGUUUUGGUAUUAAAAUCAAUUAGAAACUAACCCAUAGACUACAAAUAAUUUCUUCUACAUCCUUUUUCUUACAAAUCUCGAGGACGAGAUUUCUGUUAAGGGGGGUAGGAUUUGUAGAGCCCAAAAUUUGUAUCAAAGAAAAAUAAGGUUAUAAAUAAAUAAAUAUGUUUAUAAGUGGGUAUCUUGGGGUUAUGGAACCCUUGAGAUCAUUUGAGUUUGUUUUAUUUGUGCAUAUACAGUAAAUGGAAUUAUAUUGGUUAAACAACAAAUAAAUAAAUAUAGAAAAAAUGCAUAUCAUGCUGGAUUUCCUGUAUUUUCGCAUUUGUAUUCAAAUUUGUGAGACAAGUUUAUUUUGGAAAAUAGAACUUGAAAAUGGAAAGAAAGGAUUAAAAACAACAAAAAGGGGACCUUCAAUACUCGUCACGGGCCGAAUUCUUCCCUGGCUCGGCCCAGCUCGGGUCUUCCUCGGCCCAUGUGGCCGCGCGCGCUCACUCACUGGCGUCGUGACCCACGCCGUCAGCCACUCCUCUCCUUUCUCUCAGCGCGCACACCGACGGAUGGGGCCAGUCGCUCAGAUCAUCUUCCUCCUAACCACCUGCGCAACAACCGCGCGCCUGCUGUGGGGUCGGGCGCUGGGAAACUCGGACUUGGCCUCGCGCUUACUCAAACUUGAGCUAACCCCGAUCUGUAGGGUCCGCCUCGCUAGGCGUAUCCUCUUCUCCAUCCAUAACAGCCAUGGCCAAACUCCAUGGCCAGUCCCCCGCUCGCAUGCACCGAUUUGAGCUCCAUGGCUCAACCGCCCAUGCAGAGUCGUCGGGUUCUGUUACAACCACCCGUUCUCCCAGCUGGCCGCCAGGUGCGGACUCCAUGGGCCAUAUAAAGUCGUGCCCGGGUCUCCUGUUGUGUGGUGAGUGGAAGCCGAGGGCCGCCGCGGUUGCAAGAACUGGGCUGUGGUGCACGCCGAAGCGAACCAUGGGCUAAUAGAGCGAAGGUAGUGCUUGGAGUUCGAAGGAAAGUUUGCCAGAGUUCACGUCUCGUGGGGAACUUCACUGUGUCGACGAUGGCCAGCCUCGUCGUUGAUUGUGUCGAUGGCCAGCCUCGUCGUUGAUUGAGCAUCGCGGCCAAGUCUGUUGUGACCGGGAUUCUUCAACACGUUCCACCUCGAGGUAUGGAUCCAAAUGCUAGCAGCAGCAUCUCUCAACUACUUCCGCGUGAUGCGAUGGUGCUGGGUACGUAGAUGUGCUUCCGCUCUCUGCUGCAUGCCGUUGUAGGCCAUCCUAUUGCCUCUCACGCCCUGAAACCGGGUCUCCGGCUAACCACCUAGCUUGCGGACAAACUCUCGCCGACGAAGGUUCACCGUGCCGCGUGGACAGCUUCGCCUUGCCUCCUAACCUUCGGUAAUGCCCCUUGGAUCAAUUCGACACCUUCUCUGCAUUGCUUAGCACCUAGUUACGCUUGGAAUCAAGCCCUGGCAUGAUAAUUGGGUGCUCCGCGGUCAUGGCGCCGCCGUGGGUAGGGCCGGCGUGCUGCCGUAUUCCGGCUGGGAGGAAGAAAACUGGCAGCCAUUGGAUUGGAAGUUGACGGUUAGGAUGGGUUAUGGGAAGGAUGUACCGUGGACCGUUGAUCGCGGAAUGGACGUAUCGGAUUAGAUUCACGUAUACCCGUUCGACUCAUUAAAUCCAGGGCGUAGAUCUUGGAUCCUAGGGCUCGGGUUGCGUACCGAUUUGUGCGCGGCCAGAUUUAAUCGUGACCUUUGGUUUGGAUCGGACGGCUCUGAAUCAACGAUACCCCUUCGCCCUGGCUUUCUUUCUAAAGAGACCCCGGAAAACUUGCUAUUCAACCCGCGGUCUAUCGCCUGGGUUCUCUGUGUCUUGGUGCACUUUGCGCCAGGGCCCCUGCACUUCCUAAUAUUAGUGGGCCCAGUCCAGAGUAUUAUAAAACAGAGAAAAUAAUUUAUAAAUGGGUUUUUAAUAGAUAAAUAAAUGCUAGAACUUGUUUAAAUCAUAGAAAAUCCAUUUUUAGUCCAAAUUAAUCCAUUCCACUUUCUAAAAUUUUGUAAUUUUAUUAUCUACCACCUAGAGCCUCUGUUUUGUCAUGAAAACAAUUAGAAAUUUAAUCUCUCACUUAAUCCAUUCUAAGCACAUAGAAUCUUUGGAAAUCCAUAACUUAAAAUCUAUAACUCCGAAAUUAAUGAUUCCUGUUCCUAUGAUCUUAUUUUAAUAUGUAUAUUAUUAAUGUGUAUUUUGUUCUUAUGUGUGGUGUAAUGUUAAUUUUGCCUAUACCAUGUUUGUUUGAAUUGCUACGACUAGCAGUGAGGUCACGAGUCACCUGAAGAUCAUCCUGGUACCUGGAAUCUCAAGUCCCAGGCAAGUUGUGCCCUUGAUCACUUCUUUUACCCACUCAUGUUCUAAUUAAUCAUAAUGAUCUGCAUAGGUUAAUUUGAUGGGACCUAAUAGGUUACCCUAGAUUGUCUAUCUUUAUACCUUGUUUACCACUGAACUUUUUGGGUAGUACUUGCUAGUGCUUUAUGUGGUUUUGGGUAUGAAGAUACAUUAUUCAUGAUCACACUUUUAUUAUCAGUUUAUUAUUACUGUUCAUGAUAAGAUCAUUAUGUUAAUUGGAACAUGGAGAACCACCCGGGAAAACAGUGCUACCACAAGGGAGGAAUGGGACCCCUUGGCUGAUUAAUUAGGAAAGCUAGUGGAAGACUACCUUACCCGAAAGGGGCAAGGGCAGUAGGGGAGUGGUCAGUGUAGGGAGGCCCUCGGGAGGAUUUUGCUGCGAUGGCGGUCCUGCAAGGGAUUCCUGCAUUGGAGCUUCCUAUAAACUGUAGCGGGUUUUCUGAAGCUAGUGGAACUUUGUAAAGGCCUCGUAGUGUUACCCUGCCUCGCCUCCUCGGUAGAGGUGUAUGGGAAGUCGCGAUCCCUUGGCAGAUGGGUAACAUGACUUGUGGGUAAAGAUGCGCAACCUCUGCAGAGUGUAAAACUGGUAUACUAGCCGUGCUCACGGUCAUGAGCAGCUCGGACCCUCACAUGAUUAAAUUAUGGAACUAAAUUCAAUUUGUCAUAUGCAUUGCAUCGCAGGUGAUGUUGUUACUACUUUUGUUCUACUACUUAAUUGGGCUUGGUAUUUACUUAUACUUAGUAAUUGCUAAUAUAAUUUUGACCAACUUUAAAAGCAAUGCUCAGCUUCAACCAUCCUCUUUGGUAAGCCUUACACUUCACGUGAGCUCCCACCUUUGCCGAGUUCAUGCACAUUAUUCCCCACAACUUGUUGAGCGAUGAACGUAUGUGAGCUCACUCUUGCUGUCUCACACCCCCACAGGUCAAAAACAGGUACCACAGAAUGAGGCGCAUGGAGGAUGCUGUGAUGAGUUCGUGAGAGGUCUAGGCCAUCGUCUCCCAGUCAACUUUGGGUUGCUGGACCGUUGUCUCCCUAUAAUGUAAUUAUUUAUUUUGUAUAGAAUUCCUGUUAUAUAUAAAGAUGUGACAUUCGAUCCUGUGCCACUAUACAUCAUAUGUGUGAGACUUGGUCCCAG
Molecule: long non-coding RNA, 7374 nt
Filed under: Zea mays
Lineage: Eukaryota; Viridiplantae; Streptophyta; Magnoliopsida; Poales; Poaceae
Description: long non-coding RNA (ZMAY_LNC001189)
Source: RNAcentral